UCCGUGUCUGUGGGCUGACGAUCCGUCUGCCUUUUAGAGCUCCCUCGGGUAGUGGGGCACUCGCACGAUAUCGGCAGACAGACAUAAAGAGGGGAUCCAGAUAAAGCCAAGGAUGCCGUGUAAUCUUUAAAGACAAAGAACACCAAUUUGAUGGCAUGGAAUUUAGUGGCGUGUAAAAUUCCGAAGAGUUGCACUACUUGGUGAAGCGUGAUCGCCAAAGCCCAUAGGAUGGGUGUAAUUCG
This is a long non-coding RNA of Spea bombifrons (plains spadefoot toad), 242 nucleotides long. RefSeq lists it as uncharacterized. NCBI's taxonomy places the organism in Eukaryota, Metazoa, Chordata, Amphibia, Anura, Pelobatidae. The record is from RefSeq and is a predicted model, not a curated record. The transcript is spliced from 3 exons.